Molecule: long non-coding RNA, 913 nt
Filed under: Crocodylus porosus (Australian saltwater crocodile)
Lineage: Eukaryota; Metazoa; Chordata; Crocodylia; Crocodylidae
Description: lncRNA (ENSCPRG00005015286.1)
Source: RNAcentral
UAUUUACUGAACUCUGUCUCUGGUUAUAAGAGAGGAUGGUCCAACUAUAUGAGUUUGAGCCCCAAGGGCUGAAUGGAUACAGAGUCUUGACUCCACUCUGAAUGCAUAAAGGGAUAAUCUCUCUGGGUAUGUAUGUGCUACAUCCCCUGUACGUCAAGUGCCCAACCAUUCCUGCUCUCUGGAGAUAGAGGUCCCAAAAGACAUAAUGAGGAGGAGUCCCUGGAGCAGCUUCACCACUGCAUUUCCAGGUUUGGAAGUGGAGUCAUUAACUGGCUGGUGCAGGGUUUUGAGAAAAUGGUACCUCAGCCAGAGAAAAAGCCUGAGGUCUGUACUCAGCAGCCUGUUGUAUAUCAACCUGCAAACAGCUGUCAGGAAGCAAAGGAAAAGAAGCCUGAGGAGACUGCCAAAAUAGAAGAACCAAAGCUGGAGCCUAAACUGGAACCGAAGCCGGAGCCUCCACCAAAAGAGAGUGCCAGUGAAUCUCUAACUACACAAGAGGCAACUGCAGCUAGCCAGCUGGGGCUUGGAGUCUCUUUUUUCCCUUGGGCUUUAGGUGGUGAUGGUAGCAGGAUGUUUGACUGGUUUGUUCAGGAACUGGAGAAGAUGGUUCCACAGCCUGUGAUCAAGCAGGCUGAUUCGGAAGGAGAAGUGGUAACUGCGUGCCCAGUGGAGGAGAUUUGUAUCUUCCCCGAGGAGCAGGGAGAGACCAAACUUGUCAUUGAAGACACUGAAUCCAAUGAAGUUCUAGAAGAGGUGAAACCUUGUGACACUGAGAUGGAACUUAAACUGUCUUCUGCUCCUCUCCCUUCAAUAGAAGAGGAAACUCAGGAGGAAGAAGAGAGGUAAGAAGAGAAAGCUCAUACUGGAAAAGCCACCUUGUAUGUCAGAUCCUAUAUUAUAAGGAAUCAAGCCC